Molecule: non-coding RNA, 401 nt
Organism: Kogia breviceps (pygmy sperm whale)
Lineage: Eukaryota; Metazoa; Chordata; Mammalia; Artiodactyla; Physeteridae
Source: RefSeq, a predicted model, not a curated record
UUCUGAAAAGGAAGACAUCAGAUUUAUACAUCAUUGUUGGGAUUUGGAUGUAUUGAUUCUUACUUAGAGCUAUCUGAGUUUAGAGAUCUCACCCUUCCCCAGAUAUGCACCUGCCUGGCUACUUGAAAGCGGAUGGAUGCCGUGCCUGACUAGUGAAAUUUAACCCAUCACUUCAGGAACCAUUGUUACCGUUGCAACAAGCAGAUGUCACUGCAGACUGUGUGAAAAUGUCAGAGAAAAUGAAACAAAUCUAAGAAGUAGUAGAAGUGAAAUCUCACCCUUAAAAUGAAGCCUCUCCAAGGAACUUGACUCUAUGAAAUCAUAAGCAAUCAACUCUAUGGAAUCUGUGGACUGCUGAGUCUAAAAGAAGAGACUGAAAAAUCAAGUAGAUGAAACCCACA